GGUGGCUCAAUGGUAGAGUGCUUGCAUUGCAUGCAUGAAGCCCUGGGUUCGAUUCCUCAGCACCA
RNAcentral lists this transfer RNA (65 nucleotides) under Dipodomys ordii (Ord's kangaroo rat). It matches the Rfam family "tRNA". From Rfam's summary of the family: Transfer RNA (tRNA) molecules are approximately 80 nucleotides in length. Their secondary structure includes four short double-helical elements and three loops (D, anti-codon, and T loops). The record is from Rfam by way of RNAcentral. Lineage: Eukaryota; Metazoa; Chordata; Mammalia; Rodentia; Heteromyidae.